GAUGAACGCUGGCGGCGUGCCUAAUACAUGCAAGUCGAGCGAAUGGAUUAAGAGCUUGCUCUUAUGGAGUUAGCGGCGGACGGGUGAGUAACACGUGGGUAACCUGCCCAUAAGACUGGGAUAACUCCGGGAAACCGGGGCUAAUACCGGAUAACAUUUUGAACCGCAUGGUUCGAAAUUGAAAGGCGGCUUCGGCUGUCACUUAUGGAUGGACCCGCGUCGCAUUAGCUAGUUGGUGAGGUAACGGCUCACCAAGGCAACGAUGCGUAGCCGACCUGAGAGAGGUAUCGGCCACACUGGGACUGAGACACGGCCCAGAAUCCAACGGGAGGCAGCAGUAGGGAAUCUUCCGCAAUGGACGAAAGUCUGACGGAGCAACGCCGCGUGAGUGAGGAAGGCUUUCGGGUCGUAAAACUCUGUUGUUAGGGAAGAACAAGUGCUAGUUGAAUAAGCUGGCACCUUGACGGUACCUAACCAGAAAGCCACGGCUAACUACGUGCCAGCCGCCGCGGUAA
This 515-nucleotide ribosomal RNA is filed under the name uncultured bacterium. RNAcentral describes it as "partial 16S ribosomal RNA". It matches the Rfam family "Bacterial small subunit ribosomal RNA", at positions 28 to 523 of the family's 1533-position model. The record is from RNAcentral.